UAGCUACAGGCUUAACACAUGCAAGUCGAGGGGAAACGAUAUUGGAAGCUUGCUUCCGAUAGGCGUCGACCGGCGCACGGGUGAGUAACGCGUAUCCAACCUGCCCAUCACUUGGGGAUAACCUUGCGAAAGUAAGACUAAUACCCAAUGACGUCUCUAGAAGACAUCUGAAAGAGAUUAAAGAUUCAUCGGUGAUGGAUGGGGAUGCGUCUGAUUAGCUUGUUGGCGGGGUAACGGCCCACCAAGGCAACGAUCAGUAGGGGUUCUGAGAGGAAGGUCCCCCACAUUGGAACUGAGACACGGUCCAAACUCCUACGGGAGGCAGCAGUGAGGAAUAUUGGUCAAUGGACGAGAGUCUGAACCAGCCAAGUAGCGUGCAGGAAGACGGCCCUAUGGGUUGUAAACUGCUUUUAUAAGGGAAUAAAGUUAGUCUCGUGAGACUUUUUGCAUGUACCUUAUGAAUAAGGACCGGCUAAUUCCGUGCCAGCAGCCGCGGUAAUACGGAAGGUCCGGGCGUUAUCCGGAUUUAUUGGGUUUAAAGGGAGCGUAGGCCGGAGAUUAAGCGUGUUGUGAAAUGCAGACGCUCAACGUCUGCACUGCAGCGCGAACUGGUUUCCUUGAGUACGCACAAAGUGGGCGGAAUUCGUGGUGUAGCGGUGAAAUGCUUAGAUAUCACGAAGAACUCCGAUUGCGAAGGCAGCUCACUGGAGCGCAACUGACGCUGAAGCUCGAAAGUGCGGGUAUCGAACAGGAUUAGAUACCCUGGUAGUCCGCACGGUAAACGAUGGAUGCCCGCUGUUGGUCUGAAUAGGUCAGCGGCCAAGCGAAAGCAUUAAGCAUCCCACCUGGGGAGUACGCCGGCAACGGUGAAACUCAAAGGAAUUGACGGGGGCCCGCACAAGCGGAGGAACAUGUGGUUUAAUUCGAUGAUACGCGAGGAACCUUACCCGGGCUUGAAUUGCAGAGGAAGGAUUUGGAGACAAUGACGCCCUUCGGGGCCUCUGUGAAGGUGCUGCAUGGUUGUCGUCAGCUCGUGCCGUGAGGUGUCGGCUUAAGUGCCAUAACGAGCGCAACCCCUCUCCUUAGUUGCCAUCAGGUCAAGCUGGGCACUCUGGGGACACUGCCACCGUAAGGUGUGA
Molecule: ribosomal RNA, 1139 nt
Filed under: uncultured bacterium
Lineage: Bacteria
Description: bacterial SSU rRNA
Rfam family: Bacterial small subunit ribosomal RNA
Source: RNAcentral